RNAcentral lists this transfer RNA (83 nucleotides) under Cyanophora sudae. Its description in RNAcentral is "tRNA-Ser". It matches the Rfam family "tRNA". From Rfam's summary of the family: Transfer RNA (tRNA) molecules are approximately 80 nucleotides in length. The record is from RNAcentral. Lineage: Eukaryota; Glaucocystophyceae; Cyanophorales; Cyanophoraceae.
GGAGAGAUGGCUGAGUGGUUUAAAGCAUUCGCUUGCUAAGCGAAAGAAUAACAAUUCCACGGGUUCGAAUCCCGUUCUCUCCU